UACAUAGGGCGCGAGCGUUGUCCGGAAUUAUUGGGCGUAAAGAGCUCGUAGGCGGCUUGUCACGUCGGGUGUGAAAGACCGGGGCUUAACUCCGGUUCUGCAUUCGAUACGGGCUAGCUAGAGUGUGGUAGGGGAGAUCGGAAUUCCUGGUGUAGCGGUGAAAUGCGCAGAUAUCAGGAGGAACACCGGUGGCGAAGGCGGAUCUCUGGGCCAUUACUGACGCUGAGGAGCGAAAGCGUGGGGAGCGAACAGG
Molecule: ribosomal RNA, 253 nt
Filed under: uncultured bacterium
Lineage: Bacteria
Description: partial 16S ribosomal RNA
Rfam family: Bacterial small subunit ribosomal RNA
Source: RNAcentral